UACGUAGGGUCCGAGCGUUAAUCGGAAUUACUGGGCGUAAAGCGUGCGCAGGCGGUUUUGUAAGCCAGAUGUGAAGUCCCCGGGCUUAACCUGGGAACUGCAUUUGGGACUGCAAGGCUCGAGUACGGCAGAGGGAGGUGGAAUUCCACGUGUAGCAGUGAAAUGCGUAGAGAUGUGGAGGAACACCGAUGGCGAAGGCAGCCUCCUGGGCCAGUACUGACGCUCAUGCACGAAAGCGUGGGGAGCAAACAGG
Molecule: ribosomal RNA, 253 nt
Filed under: uncultured bacterium
Lineage: Bacteria
Description: partial 16S ribosomal RNA
Rfam family: Bacterial small subunit ribosomal RNA
Source: RNAcentral